RNAcentral lists this microRNA precursor (173 nucleotides) under Pelobates cultripes (western spadefoot toad). The record is from RNAcentral. Lineage: Eukaryota; Metazoa; Chordata; Amphibia; Anura; Pelobatidae.
CAGCAGACACAUUCCAGCCAAUCAGCAGGAGACCCUCCCUCCCAGACCCUCCCACCUCCUGGACAGCAUCCAUUUUACAUCCAUUGUGAAGCUGCAUUCUUAGUGAGCUGUCCAGGAGGUGGGAGGGUCUGGGAGGGAGGGUCUGCUGCUGAUUGGCUGGAAUGUAUCUGCUG